UACGUAGGGGGCAAGCGUUGUCCGGAAUCAUUGGGCGUAAAGCGCGCGUAGGCGGCCCGUUAAGUCCGCUGUAAAAGUCCAGGGCUCAACCCUGGAAAGCCGGUGGAUACUGUCGGGCUAGAGUCCGGAAGAGGCGAGUGGAAUUCCUGGUGUAGCGGUGGAAUGCGCAGAUAUCAGGAGGAACACCGAUGGCGAAGGCAGCUCGCUGGGACGGUACUGACGCUGAGGCGCGAAAGCGUGGGGAGCGAACAGG
This 253-nucleotide ribosomal RNA is filed under the name uncultured bacterium. Its description in RNAcentral is "partial 16S ribosomal RNA". It matches the Rfam family "Bacterial small subunit ribosomal RNA", at positions 524 to 776 of the family's 1533-position model. The record is from RNAcentral.